AUCCUUCUUCUUCCUUAGUGGUUCUAACUGGGAUGGAAGAGCUUGAAGCUCUAGAGGGUUCAUAAACAGAAACUCUAGGGCUGUUAGAAUGUCUGAAAGAUUUGGAGAAAACGAGUUCUCCUCCUCCAUCUGGAUAUUGAACUAUUUGUUCAAUACUUUCAGAACGCUGUGCGAUGGCUGGAACAGCAUUAGCAAAAUGCCAAUUUUCAGGGAAAUCAACA
This 221-nucleotide long non-coding RNA is filed under the name Vitis vinifera (wine grape). Its description in RNAcentral is "long non-coding RNA (VVIN_LNC004490)". Lineage: Eukaryota; Viridiplantae; Streptophyta; Magnoliopsida; Vitales; Vitaceae. The record is from RNAcentral.